RNAcentral lists this ribosomal RNA (922 nucleotides) under Nocardiopsis sp. BAB-5455. Its description in RNAcentral is "bacterial SSU rRNA". It matches the Rfam family "Bacterial small subunit ribosomal RNA", at positions 351 to 1270 of the family's 1533-position model. Lineage: Bacteria; Bacillati; Actinomycetota; Actinomycetes; Streptosporangiales; Nocardiopsidaceae. The record is from RNAcentral.
GCAGUGGGGAAUAUUGCGCAAUGGGCGAAAGCCUGACGCAGCGACGCCGCGUGGUGGAUGACGGCCUUCGGGUUGUAAACCUCUUUUACCACCAACGCAGGCUCCCAGUUCUCUGGGGGUUGACGGUAGGUGGGGAAUAAGGACCGGCUAACUACGUGCCAGCAGCCGCGGUAAUACGUAGGGUCCGAGCGUUGUCCGGAAUUAUUGGGCGUAAAGAGCUCGUAGGCGGCGUGUCGCGUCUGCUGUGAAAGACCGGGGCUUAACUCCGGUUCUGCAGUGGAUACGGGCAUGCUAGAGGUAGGUAGGGGAGACUGGAAUUCCUGGUGUAGCGGUGAAAUGCGCAGAUAUCAGGAGGAACACCGGUGGCGAAGGCGGGUCUCUGGGCCUUACCUGACGCUGAGGAGCGAAAGCAUGGGGAGCGAACAGGAUUAGAUACCCUGGUAGUACAUGCCGUAAACGUUGGGCGCUAGGUGUGGGGACUUUACACGGUUUCCGCACCGUAGCUAACGCAUUAAGCGCCCCGCCUGGGGAGUACGGCCGCAAGGCUAAAACUCAAAGGAAUUGACGGGGGCCCGCACAAGCGGCGGAGCAUGUUGCUUAAUUCGACGCAACGCGAAGAACCUUACCAAGGUUUGACAUCACCCGUGGACUCGCAGAGAUGUGAGGUCAUUUAGUUGGCGAGUGACAGGUGGUGCAUGGCUGUCGUCAGCUCGUGUCGUGAGAUGUUGGGUUAAGUCUCGCAACGAGCGCAACCCUUGUUCCAUGUUGCCAGCACGUAAUGGUGGGGACUCAUGGGAGACUGCCGGGGUCAACUCGGAGGAAGGUGGGGAUGACGUCAAGUCAUCAUGCCCCUUAUGUCUUGGGCUGCAAACAUGCUACAAUGGCCGGUACAAUGGGCGUGCGAUACUGUAAGGUGGAGCGA